AAUCAACGCUGGCGGCGUGCCUCAGACAUGCAAGUCGAACGCGAAAGUUCCCUUCGGGGGGAUGAGUAGAGUGGCGCACGGGUGAGUAACACGUAGGUAAUCUACCUUCGGGUGGGGAAUAACCCAGGGAAACUUGGGCUAACACCGCAUAAUGCAGCGGCACCACAUGGUGACAGUUGUUAAAGCGGGGGAUUUUAGGACCUCGCGCCUGAAGAGGAGCCUGCGGCAGAUUAGCAGUUGGUAAGGUAACGGCUUACCAAGGCGACGAUCUGUAACCGGCCUGAGAGGGCGGUCGGUCACGCUGACACUGACAUACGGGUCAGAC
RNAcentral lists this ribosomal RNA (325 nucleotides) under uncultured bacterium. Its description in RNAcentral is "bacterial SSU rRNA". It matches the Rfam family "Bacterial small subunit ribosomal RNA", at positions 32 to 336 of the family's 1533-position model. The record is from RNAcentral.